Molecule: ribosomal RNA, 468 nt
Filed under: uncultured bacterium
Lineage: Bacteria
Description: partial 16S ribosomal RNA
Rfam family: Bacterial small subunit ribosomal RNA
Source: RNAcentral
GACGAACGCUGGCGGCGUGCUUAACACAUGCAAGUCGAACGGAAAGGCCCUGCUUUUGUGGGGUGCUCGAGUGGCGAACGGGUGAGUAACACGUGAGUAACCUGCCCUUGACUUUGGGAUAACUUCAGGAAACUGGGGCUAAUACCGGAUAGGAGCUCCUGCUGCAUGGUGGGGGUUGGAAAGUUUCGGCGGUUGGGGAUGGACUCGCGGCUUAUCAGCUUGUUGGUGGGGUAGUGGCUUACCAAGGCUUUGACGGGUAGCCGGCCUGAGAGGGUGACCGGCCACAUUGGGACUGAGAUACGGCCCAGACUCCUACGGGCGGCAGCAGUGGGGAAUAUUGCACAAUGGGAGGAAGCCUGAUGCAGCAACGCCGCGUGCGGGAUGACGGCCUUCGGGUUGUAAACCGCUUUCGCCUGUGACGAAGCGUGAGUGACGGUAAUGGGUAAAGAAGCACCGGCUAACUACGUG